This 254-nucleotide ribosomal RNA is filed under the name uncultured bacterium. Its description in RNAcentral is "partial 16S ribosomal RNA". It matches the Rfam family "Bacterial small subunit ribosomal RNA", at positions 524 to 776 of the family's 1533-position model. The record is from RNAcentral.
UACGGGGGGAGCAAGCGUUGUUCGGAUUUACUGGGCGUAAAGGGCGCGUAGGCGGCCAGCACAAGUCAGUUGUGAAAUCUCCGAGCUUAACUCGGAAAGGUCAACUGAUACUGUGCGGCUAGAGUGCGGAAGGGGCAACUGGAAUUCCUGGUGUAGCGGUGAAAUGCGCAGAUAUCAGGAGGAACACCGGUGGCGAAGGCGGUUCUCUGGGCAUUACCUGACGCUGAGGAGCGAAAGUGUGGGGAGCGAACAGG